Molecule: ribosomal RNA, 254 nt
Filed under: uncultured bacterium
Lineage: Bacteria
Description: partial 16S ribosomal RNA
Rfam family: Bacterial small subunit ribosomal RNA
Source: RNAcentral
UACGAAGGGGGGCUAGCGUUGUUCGGAAUUACUGGGCGUAAAGCGCGCGCAGGCGGUCUUCCAAGUCAGUGGUGAAAGCCCGGAGCUCAACUCCGGAACUGCCAUUGAAACUGUUGGACUUGAGUACGAGAGAGGUGAGUGGAAUUCCCAGUGUAGAGGUGAAAUUCGUAGAUAUUGGGAAGAACACCGGUGGCGAAGGCGGCUCACUGGCUCGUAACUGACGCUCAGGCGCGACAGCGUGGGGAUCAAACAGG